Molecule: transfer RNA, 202 nt
Filed under: Pneumocystis jirovecii
Lineage: Eukaryota; Fungi; Ascomycota; Pneumocystomycetes; Pneumocystales; Pneumocystaceae
Description: tRNA-Pseudo(GTA)
Source: RNAcentral
AUUGUUUUAGAUAAAUUAUAAUUAAAAAAAUGUAAACUUAUUAUAUGAAAAUAAAUUUUAAUUUUUAAAAUUUUGACAUAUUAGAAUGAUAAAUUUAAAUUAACUUUUCAACUAAUUUCAAAUAUACUUUUUAUAAUAUUUAGAUAAUUAAUUAUUUAAAUAUUUUAAUAUUUAAAUAUUUUAAUUAAAAUUAUAAAUAAUA